Molecule: ribosomal RNA, 203 nt
Filed under: Clostridioides difficile
Lineage: Bacteria; Bacillati; Bacillota; Clostridia; Peptostreptococcales; Peptostreptococcaceae
Description: partial 16S ribosomal RNA
Rfam family: Bacterial small subunit ribosomal RNA
Source: RNAcentral
GGAGGAAGCCCCGGCUAACUACGUGCCAGCAGCCGCGGUAAUACGUAGGGGGCUAGCGUUAUCCGGAUUUACUGGGCGUAAAGGGUGCGUAGGCGGGCUUUCAAGUCAGGAGUGAAAGGCUACGGCUCAACCGGAGUAAGCUCUUGAAACUGGGAGACUUGAGUGCAGGAGAGGAGAGUGGAAUUCCUAGUGUAGCGGUGAAA